This 207-nucleotide ribosomal RNA is filed under the name uncultured bacterium. RNAcentral's name for it is "partial 16S ribosomal RNA". It matches the Rfam family "Bacterial small subunit ribosomal RNA", at positions 568 to 774 of the family's 1533-position model. The record is from RNAcentral.
AGCGUAGACGGAGCAGCAAGUCUGAUGUGAAAGGCGGGGGCUCAACCCCUGGACUGCAUUGGAAACUGUUGAUCUUGAGUACCGGAGAGGUAAGCGGAAUUCCUAGUGUAGCGGUGAAAUGCGUAGAUAUUAGGAGGAACACCAGUGGCGAAGGCGGCUUACUGGACGGUAACUGACGUUGAGGCUCGAAAGCGUGGGGAGCAAACA